GAGAAGACACGGAGAACAAGGACUGAAACAAUUUCUUUUUUAGGAGAGCAAGUGUGUAGACGUAUCAUGUUUCGGCGGAGUCCGCGACAUGAACAGUCCGUUUCCACCCCUACACGUAUUUGAUGAGUGCAUAAGGAAGA
Molecule: non-coding RNA, 140 nt
Organism: Caenorhabditis elegans
Lineage: Eukaryota; Metazoa; Nematoda; Chromadorea; Rhabditida; Rhabditidae
Source: Ensembl